RNAcentral lists this ribosomal RNA (115 nucleotides) under Vibrio vulnificus. The record is from RNAcentral. Lineage: Bacteria; Pseudomonadati; Pseudomonadota; Gammaproteobacteria; Vibrionales; Vibrionaceae.
UGGCGACCAUAGCGUUUUGUACCCACCUGAAUCCAUUCCGAACUCAGAAGUGAAACGAAAUAGCGUCGAUGGUAGUGUGGGGUUUCCCCAUGUGAGAGUAGAACAUCGCCAGGCU